This 332-nucleotide ribosomal RNA is filed under the name uncultured bacterium. RNAcentral's name for it is "bacterial SSU rRNA". It matches the Rfam family "Bacterial small subunit ribosomal RNA", at positions 568 to 898 of the family's 1533-position model. The record is from RNAcentral.
CGCGUAGGUGGUUGACCAAGUUGGAUGUGAAAUUCCCGGGCUUAACCUGGGAAGGUCAUCCAAGACGGGUAGACUAGAGUAUGGUAGAGGGAAGAGGAAUUUCCGGUGUAGCGGUGAAAUGCGUAGAUAUCGGAAGGAACACCAGUGGCGAAGGCGACCUCCUGGGCUGAUACUGACACUGAGGCGCGAAAGCGUGGGGAGCAAACAGGAUUAGAUACCCUGGUAGUCCACGCUGUAAACGAUGAGAACUAGCUGUUGGGCGAGUUAAAUUGCUAAGUAGCGAAGCAAACGCGAUAAGUUCUCCGCCUAGGGAGUACGGCCGCAAGGUUAAA